GGGUUGUGAGGUUAAGCGACCAAGCGUACACGGUGGAUGCCCUGGCAGUCAGAGGCGAUGAAGGACGUGCUAAUCUGCGAAAAGCGCCGGUAAGGUGAUAUGAACCGUUAUAACCGGCGAUGUCCGAAUGGGGAAACCCAGUGUGACUCGUCACACUAUCAUUAACUGAAUCCAUAGGUUAAUGAGGCGAACCGGGGGAACUGAAACAUCUAAGUACCCCGAGGAAAAGAAAUCAACCGAGAUUCCCCCAGUAGCGGCGAGCGAACGGGGAGGAGCCCAGAGCCUGAAUCAGCAUGUGUGUUAGUGGAAGCGUCUGGAAAGGCGCGCGAUACAGGGUGACAGCCCCGUACACAAAAGCGCACGUGCUGUGAGCUCGAUGAGUAGGGCGGGACACGUGGUAUCCUGUCUGAAUAUGGGGGGACCAUCCUCCAAGGCUAAAUACUCCUGACUGACCGAUAGUGAACCAGUACCGUGAGGGAAAGGCGAAAAGAACCCCGGCGAGGGGAGUGAAACAGAACCUGAAACCGUGUACGUACAAGCAGUGGGAGCCUCUCUUUAUGGGGGGUGACUGCGUACCUUUUGUAUAAUGGGUCAGCGACUUAUAUUCUGUAGCAAGGUUAACCGCAUAGGGGAGC
Molecule: ribosomal RNA, 635 nt
Filed under: Salmonella enterica
Lineage: Bacteria; Pseudomonadati; Pseudomonadota; Gammaproteobacteria; Enterobacterales; Enterobacteriaceae
Also listed under: 1 other name
Description: partial 23S ribosomal RNA
Rfam family: Bacterial large subunit ribosomal RNA
Source: RNAcentral